GGAAUAUUGGGCAAUGGGCGGAGGCCUGACCCAGCCAUGCCGCGUGCAGGAAGACGGCCUUCUGGGUUGUAAACUGCUUUUACCAGGGAAGAAAACACCGUUGCGACGGGGAUUGACAGUAACUGAGGAAUAAGCACCGGCUAACUACGUGCCAGCAGCAGCGGUAAUACGUAGGGUGCAAGCGUUGUCCGGAUUUAUUGGUUUUAAAGGGUGCGUAGGCGGCCUAAUAAGUCAGUGGUGAAAUCCUGCGGCUCAACCGUAGAUGUGCCAUUGAUACUGUUAGGCUUGAGUACAGACGAGGUAGGCGGAAUUUAUGGUGUAGCGGUGAAAUGCAUAGAUACCAUAAAGAACACCGAUAGCGAAGGCAGCUUACUAGGCUGUAACUGACGCUGAGGCACGAAAGCGUGGGUAGCGAAC
This 417-nucleotide ribosomal RNA is filed under the name uncultured bacterium. RNAcentral describes it as "bacterial SSU rRNA". It matches the Rfam family "Bacterial small subunit ribosomal RNA", at positions 358 to 773 of the family's 1533-position model. The record is from RNAcentral.